UACGUAGGGGGCAAGCGUUGUCCGGAUUUAUUGGGCGUAAAGAGCGUGUAGGCGGCCCGACAGGUCCGUUGUGAAAACUCGAGGCUCAACCUCGAGACGUCGACGGAAACCGUCUGGCUAGAGUCCGGAAGAGGAGUGUGGAAUUCCUGGUGUAGCGGUGAAAUGCGCAGAUAUCAGGAAGAACACCUAUGGCGAAGGCAGCACUCUGGGACGGUACUGACGCUGAGACGCGAAAGCGUGGGGAGCGAACAGG
Molecule: ribosomal RNA, 253 nt
Filed under: uncultured bacterium
Lineage: Bacteria
Description: partial 16S ribosomal RNA
Rfam family: Bacterial small subunit ribosomal RNA
Source: RNAcentral